Molecule: ribosomal RNA, 425 nt
Filed under: uncultured bacterium
Lineage: Bacteria
Description: partial 16S ribosomal RNA
Rfam family: Bacterial small subunit ribosomal RNA
Source: RNAcentral
GUGGGGAAUAUUGGACAAUGGGCGAAAGCCUGAUCCAGCAAUGCCGCGUGAGUGAUGAAGGCCUUAGGGUUGUAAAGCUCUUUUACCAGGGAUGAUAAUGACAGUACCUGGAGAAUAAGCUCCGGCUAACUCCGUGCCAGCAGCCGCGGUAAUACGGAGGGAGCUAGCGUUGUUCGGAAUUACUGGGCGUAAAGCGCGCGUAGGCGGCUCAGCAAGUCAGGGGUGAAAUCCCGGGGCUCAACCCCGGAACUGCCGUUGAAACUGCUAGGCUAGAAUCCUGGAGAGGCGAGUGGAAUUCCGAGUGUAGAGGUGAAAUUCGUAGAUAUUCGGAAGAACACCAGUGGCGAAGGCGACUCGCUGGACAGGUAUUGACGCUGAGGUGCGAAAGCGUGGGGAGCAAACAGGAUUAGAAACCCGUGUAGUCC